Maylandia zebra (zebra mbuna) is the source of this 114-nucleotide non-coding RNA. Lineage: Eukaryota; Metazoa; Chordata; Actinopteri; Cichliformes; Cichlidae. The record is from RefSeq and is a predicted model, not a curated record.
CACAGGAUGGAGGAAACAACGCUGCUGUGUCUCCUCUUUCUGACUGCAGUGCUGAUCUGCACGACACACCAAGCUCGCCUGACUGUGAGUCCCAGCAGCUCUCAGCUGUUUGAA